RNAcentral lists this long non-coding RNA (1254 nucleotides) under Dromaius novaehollandiae (emu). RNAcentral describes it as "lncRNA (ENSDNVG00000004298.1)". Lineage: Eukaryota; Metazoa; Chordata; Aves; Casuariiformes; Dromaiidae. The record is from RNAcentral.
GCUUUUUCUGAGCUCCUGCGCUGGGGAGGGUGGGUGGAUGCGUGACGGGAAAACAGCAAGUGCUUUGCAUUCACCCCACCGCUUUGCCAUCRUCCAAUUAACUCUAUUAAUAGCAGCAGCACUUCCCCAUCAGCAAAACUUUCAGGCUUGUAGCAGCUAAAUGCUUCCUGAGAGAUCCUGGACGUCAGGCAGGGCUGGGGCUCCUUAACGACGCGUGGUAUUUUAAUGAGCCUUGUACCUAGAAGAGGAUCAUAGGAAAUGGAUGGAAUUCCAUUUGUUGGUUUGAGGAACGGAGGAAAGAACAUGUGUUUGGUGCUACACGUAGCUGAGAUGCUACCCUGGUGAAAAUGAAGUGGAAGCUUCUGUAACCUGAGUUUUUCGUGGGGAAGAGCAGCGGCUGAGCACGGGCUCGUGGCCACCCCCGAGCUGGGCUCCCCGACGUGUCCGGUGGUGCCAUCCCCCAGCGCGGCAGCAGCURUUGCUCUCGGCGUCAUCUCUAAUGCUUUACACUCUGCCCACUUGAAGCACCAUACUUCAGUUUUAUCCAGACUGCUAAUAAGGAAUCUAAGCACGCUGGCUGUAUAAAAUAGUGCCAUUUUUUUCCUUCUCAGACCGACUAGCAAUGCCAGACCUUAAUGGAGAGUUGUAACUGGGUUUCUUCCUUGCUCUUAAAAUCCAUUUACGYUUCACCUGGGGGAAGUAAAACUCUGACAUCAAUUCGUAUUCAUUGGUCACGUCCCUCGUUUCAUUAGGUGCUCCUAUUUUUGAUGUCCUACARCUCCUGUCACUUUUACAUUGCACAAAUCAUUCAGAAAGCAAGCAAAGAAAUCCCUCGGUAUCCCCGCGACAGUUCAGUCCUGUGUAAAUCCYGGAGUUUGCCUGUUUCUGAGAUAUUGCAUUUCGCAUCUCCGAGGGCUUGUGUGCUUGUGCACAUGAGAGGAUGCAAUGUGCAAAACUUUCUCCUGGCCUGGAAACUGGUGGAGCUUUGUCUUCAGGAGAAGACUGAGAGCUUGCUGCUCUGCUAGGUAGAGCCAGCRACUUUCUGAAGAUCAGCGGGCAGAGGAUGUGCUCCGGCUGGGAAGGGGCACUGAAUUCGUUGGCACGGAUGAACUGAGCUACUGACGGUCUACUCUGAAGACAAAUCUAAGCAAAGGGCAUGAAAUAAUGUGACAAAARUUGUAAAUCACUGCACCACUCUCUGCCAGUUCUCCGGUCCAGCCUGCCAGCCCYGUAGCCGUCCGUUGGCACCAUCCG